This is a ribosomal RNA of 146 nucleotides. It matches the Rfam family "Bacterial large subunit ribosomal RNA", at positions 2308 to 2453 of the family's 2925-position model. The record is from Rfam.
GCGCGAUGGUGGGCUCAGACCGGUCGGAAAUCGGUCGUCGAGUGCAAUGGCAUAAGCCUGCCUGACUGCGAGACUGACACGUCGAGCAGAGACGAAAGUCGGCCAUAGUGAUCCGGUGGUCCCGCGUGGAAGGGCCAUCGCUCAAC